AAAGUCGUAACAAGGUUUCCGUAGGUGAACCUGCGGAAGGAUCAUUACAGUGUUAGGCUUCGGCCUCAUUCACACCCCUUGUUUACCCUCUGGUUUCUUUGGCGAUGUCCAUGGACUCGUCAAACUUUUAACUCUGGUAAUGUGAUACUGUCCGAGUGAUAUUCAAUCAUAAAAACUUUCAACAACGGAUCUCUUGGUUCCA
This 202-nucleotide unclassified non-coding RNA is filed under the name Ascomycota sp. Its description in RNAcentral is "partial contains small subunit ribosomal RNA, internal transcribed spacer 1, and 5.8S ribosomal RNA". The stretch from base 1 to 47 matches the Rfam family "Eukaryotic small subunit ribosomal RNA", at positions 1785 to 1831 of the family's 1831-position model. Lineage: Eukaryota; Fungi; Ascomycota. The record is from RNAcentral.